Molecule: unclassified non-coding RNA, 807 nt
Filed under: Leishmania donovani
Lineage: Eukaryota; Euglenozoa; Kinetoplastea; Trypanosomatida; Trypanosomatidae
Description: gene:LdHU3.36.5100(CDS-product:EF-hand_domain_pai r/EF-hand_domain_containing_protein_putative)
Source: RNAcentral
UCAGCUCCUUCUCUGUCACAACCCUGCACUCUGUCUCACACACACCAAAGACUCUGUUUAGAAACAUACACUACGCACCCACCGACCACGCAUCCCCACCGCAACUACUCUCUUUUAAGUGUAGUUACGACGUGUCUUACACUCCUUUCCUCCCCCUACUAAACACCUUUUUCGCAGCCAUGCAGCAGAGCCUCAUCCCCGGCCACAAUAACAACCGCCACCUGACCUAUGACGAGGUGGAGAACAACAUCGGUGGGCUGCCGGUGACGGACAACCGCAUCCAGGACCUGUUCGACUCCCUGGACGUGGACCACAGCGGCACCGUUUCGGUGGAGGUGGUGAAGAGGUUCUACAUGGGCCUCGAGCACUACGGUGUGGACCUCUCUGAUAAGGAGCUUGAUGAAAUGGUGCGCAAGUACGCCGCGACUCACGAUGAAUCCCUGAGCUACGAGGAGUUCGCGUGCUUCGUGCUCAGCCUUGCGCAGUGGUAAAAGAAACAAGAUGACCCUUCACGUGCAACAGGCAUUAGGAGGGAUGAAGUGGGUGUGGAGAGGCCAUGAGCCCGUGUUGCUGCCUGCGUGGGCAUGUGCUGGUGUGCUUCUCAGCACUAUGUAAUAUGUAUAUAUAUAUAUGCGCAUAUUGCUUUUUGAAGCUUUUUGUGCCUUGUCACUUGAUGCACGUUUGCCGGAGCAGAGCCCUCUCGCCGCCCGCCCUCAUUUUCCUCUUACUCGGUCUGCUUCGCAGGGCAACUUGUCUCCUUCUUUCUAUUCCUCAUCCUCCUCGAUUCUUCUAUCUGAUGUAUUCUAG